GACGAACGCUGGCGGCGUGCUUAACACAUGCAAGUCGAACGGAAAGGCCCUGCUUUUGUGGGGUGCUCGAGUGGCGAACGGGUGAGUAACACGCGAGUAACCUGCCCUUGACUUUGGGAUAACUUCAGGAAACUGGGGCUAAUACCGGAUAGGAGCUCCUGCUGCAUGGUGGGGGUUGGAAAGUUUCGGCGGUUGGGGAUGGACUCGCGGCUUAUCAGCUUGUUGGUGGGGUAGUGGCUUACCAAGGCUUUGACGGGUAGCCGGCCUGAGAGGGUGACCGGCCACAUUGGGACUGAGAUACGGCCCAGACUCCUACGGGAGGCAGCAGUGGGGAAUAUUGCACAAUGGGCGGAAGCCUGAUGCAGCAACGCCGCGUGCGGGAUGACGGCCUUCGGGUUGUAAACCGCUUUCGCCUGUGACGAAGCGUGAGUGACGGUAAUGGGUAAAGAAGCACCGGCUAACUACGCGCCAGCAGCCGCGGUGAUACGUAGGGUGCGAGCGUUGUCCGGAUUUAUUGGGCGUAAAGGGCUCGUAGGUGGUUGAUCGCGUCGGAAGUGUAAUCUUGGGGCUUAACCCUGAGCGUGCUUUCGAUACGGGUUGACUUGAGGAAGGUAGGGGAGAAUGGAAUUCCUGGUGGAGCGGUGGAAUGCGCAGAUAUCAGGAGGAACACCAGUGGCGAAGGCGGUUCUCUGGGCCUUUCCUGACGCUGAGGAGCGAAAGCGUGGGGAGCGAACAGGCUUAGAUACCCUGGUAGUCCACGCUGUAAACGGUGGGUACUAGGUGUGGGGUCCAUUCCACGGGUUCCGUGCCGUAGCUAACGCUUUAAGUACCCCGCCUGGGGAGUACGGCCGCAAGGCUAAAACUCAAAGGAAUUGACGGGGCCCCGCACAAGCGGCGGAGCAUGCGGAUUAAUUCGAUGCAACGCGUAGAACCUUACCUGGGUUUGACAUGGAUCGGGAGUGCUUAGAGAUGGGUGUGCCUCUUUUGGGGUCGGUUCACAGGUGGUGCAUGGCUGUCGUCAGCUCGUGUCGUGAGAUGUUGGGUUAAGUCCCGCAACGAGCGCAACCCUUGUUCACUGCUGCCAGCACGUUAUGGUGGGGACUCAGUGGAGACCGCCGGGGUCAACUCGGAGGAAGGUGGGGAUGACGUCAAGUCAUCAUGCCCCUUAUGUCCAGGGCUUCACGCAUGCUACAAUGGCUGGUACAGAGAGUGGCGAGCCUGUGAGGGUGAGCGAAUCUCGGAAAGCCGGUCUCAGUUCGGAUUGGGGUCUGCAACUCGACCUCAUGAAGUCGGAGUCGCUAGUAAUCGCAGAUCAGCAACGCUGCGGUGAAUACGUUCCCGGGGCUUGUACACACCGCCCGUCAAGUCAUGAAAGUUGGUAACACCCGAAGCCGGUGGUCUAACCGUUGUGGGGGAGCCGUCGAAGGUGGGACUGGUGAUUAGGACUAAGUCGUAACAAGGUAGCCGUACCGGAAGG
RNAcentral lists this ribosomal RNA (1477 nucleotides) under uncultured bacterium. Its description in RNAcentral is "16S ribosomal RNA". It matches the Rfam family "Bacterial small subunit ribosomal RNA". The record is from RNAcentral.